Molecule: ribosomal RNA, 253 nt
Filed under: uncultured bacterium
Lineage: Bacteria
Description: partial 16S ribosomal RNA
Rfam family: Bacterial small subunit ribosomal RNA
Source: RNAcentral
UACGGGGGGGGCAAGCGUUGUUCGGAAUUACUGGGCGUAAAGGGCUCGUAGGCGGCCAACUAAGUCGGACGUGAAAUCCCCAGGCUCAACCUGGGAACUGCGUCCGAUACUGGAUGGCUUGAAUCCGGGAGAGGGAUGCAGAAUUCCAGGUGUAGCGGUGAAAUGCGUAGAUAUCUGGAGGAACACCGGUGGCGAAGGCGGCAUCCUGGACCAACACUGACACUGAGGAGCGAAAGCCAGGGGAGCAAACGGG